Molecule: ribosomal RNA, 389 nt
Filed under: Plagioselmis nannoplanctica
Lineage: Eukaryota; Cryptophyceae; Cryptomonadales; Cryptomonadaceae
Description: partial small subunit ribosomal RNA
Rfam family: Eukaryotic small subunit ribosomal RNA
Source: RNAcentral
GCUUGUCUCAAAGAUUAAGCCAUGCAUGUCUAAGUGUAAAUAAGUCUAUACUGUGAAACUGCGAAUGGCUCAUUAAAUCAGUUAUCGUUUAUUUGAUGAUCUCUUACUACUUGGAUAACCGUAGUAAUUCUAGAGCUAAUACAUGCACAAAAUCCCGACUUACGAAGGGAUGUAUUUAUUAGAUUCAAACCAACACUUUUUGGUGAUUCAUAAUAACUUGUCGAACCUCAUGCCUUUAUGGUGGAGGUGAUUCAUUCAAAUUUCUGCCCUAUCAGCUUUGGAUGGUAGGGUAUUGGCCUACCAUGGCUUUAACGGGUAACGGAGAAUUAGGGUUCGAUUCCGGAGAGGGAGCCUGAGAAAUGGCUACCACAUCCAAGGAAGGCAGCAGG